GAUGAACGCUAGCGGCAGGCUUAACACAUGCAAGUCGAGGGGCAGCACGGGUAGCAAUACCUGGUGGCGACCGGCGCAAGGGUGCGUAACGCGUGAGCAACAUGCCCUAUACAGGGGGAUAAUCCAGGGAAACUUGGUCUAAUAUCCCAUAGUAUUUAGAGGAGGCAUCUUCUAUAAAUUAAAGCUUCGGUGGUAUAGGAUUGGCUCGCGUGACAUUAGCUAGAUGGUGAGGUAACGGCUCACCAUGGCAAUGAUGUCUAGGGGUUCUGAGAGGAAGGCCCCCCACACUGGGACUGAGACACGGCCCAGACUCCUACGGGAGGCAGCAGUGAGGAAUAUUGGACAAUGGAUGGAAAUCUGAUCCAGCCAUGCCGCGUGCAGGAAGACAGCCCUAUGGGUUGUAAACUGCUUUUAUAUGGGAGCAAUAAGGUUUACGCGUAGACCGAUGAGAGUACCAUAUGAAUAAGCAUCGGCUAA
This 477-nucleotide ribosomal RNA is filed under the name uncultured bacterium. Its description in RNAcentral is "bacterial SSU rRNA". It matches the Rfam family "Bacterial small subunit ribosomal RNA", at positions 28 to 500 of the family's 1533-position model. The record is from RNAcentral.